UUAUCCGUCCGCCCUUUUCUUUCCCGUCUCUUCCGUCUCGCCAUCCAUCUCCUGAUCUCUUUUCUCUCCCUCGCCGUAUAUCGCUUCAUCCGACCCUGCUGCACUACUCCAGUAUCAUGCGCUGCUCUAGCCUCGUACCCAGUUCCCUCGCUAUCUCGCUCUAACCUCGUCACACCGCAUAUCCACCAGGCCUGCCUUGCCGUCUCACUUCGGCCCUGCCGCACCACUCCGUCUCCGCCGUGGCGGUCCCGUCCCAUCUCCACCAUGCCGGUGUCUGGCUGUGCGCACCGGCUCCGGCGCAGCCCUUCGCCACCGCGUGCUCUCCUCUGUUGGUGCCUGGCCGGCGGCCCCUUCUUCUGUUGUGCCGCAUCGAGCUGUGUCGGUUGGGAGGCUGGGUGGCAUUUUUGUGUGAAAAUUAAGCUAAUUUCAGGGAUAUUUUGGUACUAUCAAUGCGACAGGGAGGGGAGGAGCGGUGGGGAGCCACAUUUUCGGCUCUGCAUGCAGUUCAUUUUCUGGGGUGGCUUCGCUUGGCUUCAGCCCUGGAGCACUUUUCUACUGCGUAGCAGCAGAAACAGCUGGCAGGACACGUAACAUGCGGUGGGCGGCGCAUCGCGCAUGGUGUCGUCGCAACGCAGAGCUGCUGCUUCUUUUUUUUUUCCUCAUCGGACGAAUGGUUUGGUCCUGCCACCGGCGGUCUGCAGGUGGCUUGUCGCCUGCAGUUGCAGCGGCUACGCGCGACAGCAAAUAAAAGUCCCGAAAGCAAGUCGCCGGCCUAGCUAAUCCAGCAAACUGAGCUAUAUUAUUAGAAUUUCUUUUGAAAGGAUACGAGACGCAAUACUGCUAUCUUGCCCUUGGAAGCAACUACUGGAAGCAACUAAUUAGACGCACUUGGUCUCGUGGAUCUUAUGAUCUGUUUAGACGUACUAUUGCUAAAGUUUAGCAAGUGCUAAAAUUAGCACUUCCACCUAUUAACACUUCUGUUUGGAGACGUGACUAAUAGAUAGAGUUAAAGUUCAUUAAAUGUCAAUUUUGCCUCUUUAUCUCCUCACCUCCCCUUUCUCUCUCUCCUUUUUAUCUUUUCACAAGCCAUUAGCACCCAUUAGCUCCUCCCCACUGGCUAAUCUUUUCACUUUUUGGAGAGAGCAACCCUCCCGUUUCGAUGGGCUAAUGCAUAAAAAGUGCUAAACUUUAACACUUUCACUCAUUAGCACUUGGAUCCAAACGUACCUUUAAUUCUCUCGUUUCCCUAAUCCAGCACACAACUAUGAGCUCGGCCCAGUUUUUAACUCAGAGGUUGCCUAGCCAGACCCAACAAUAUUCUUGAUAAAGAUUGGGAAACAAGACACACUCACACACCACUACACCAGCUGACCAGCACCACUCUUAAAAAAAGAGAGGAUGAAAUUCAUUUUUGACCUUUCAACUAUCGCAUGAGUUUGAUUUGACCAUUCAAUUCUAGAAUCGGGUAUUCUUGACCCUCCAACUGCCAACACCGUUCAUGUUUGACAACCUACCUACUUUAAGUUUCGUUGAUGUGGAUGACACUUGGCAUUGGAGCGCACAUGUAAGCUCAUUCUUCUCUCUUCUAUUCUCUUUUUCUUUCUUCUCUCUCCUCCUUUCCUCUCUCCUGCCCCCUCGGUACGACCACGCAGCGGCCGUAGC
Molecule: long non-coding RNA, 1662 nt
Filed under: Setaria italica (foxtail millet)
Lineage: Eukaryota; Viridiplantae; Streptophyta; Magnoliopsida; Poales; Poaceae
Description: long non-coding RNA (SITA_LNC006963)
Source: RNAcentral